RNAcentral lists this ribosomal RNA (492 nucleotides) under uncultured bacterium. Its description in RNAcentral is "partial 16S ribosomal RNA". It matches the Rfam family "Bacterial small subunit ribosomal RNA", at positions 28 to 507 of the family's 1533-position model. The record is from RNAcentral.
GGUGAACGCUGGCGGUAGGCCUAACACAUGCAAGUCGAACGGCAGCACAGUAAGAGCUUGCUCUUACGGGUGGCGAGUGGCGGACGGGUGAGGAAUACAUCGGAAUCUACUUUUUCGUGGGGGAUAACGUAGGGAAACUUACGCUAAUACCGCAUACGACCUACGGGUGAAAGCAGGGGAUCUUCGGACCUUGCGCGAUUGAAUGAGCCGAUGUCGGAUUAGCUAGUUGGCGGGGUAAAGGCCCACCAAGGCGACGAUCCGUAGCUGGUCUGAGAGGAUGAUCAGCCACACUGGAACUGAGACACGGUCCAGACUCCUACGGGAGGCAGCAGUGGGGAAUAUUGGACAAUGGGCGCAAGCCUGAUCCAGCCAUACCGCGUGGGUGAAGAAGGCCUUCGGGUUGUAAAGCCCUUUUGUUGGGAAAGAAGAGCAGCAGGUUAAUACCCCGCUGUUCUGACGGUACCCAAAGAAUAAGCACCGGCUAACUUCGUG